Molecule: ribosomal RNA, 478 nt
Filed under: uncultured bacterium
Lineage: Bacteria
Description: partial 16S ribosomal RNA
Rfam family: Bacterial small subunit ribosomal RNA
Source: RNAcentral
GACGAACGCUGGCGGCGUGCUUAACACAUGCAAGUCGAGCGAUGAAGUUCCUUCGGGAACGGAUUAGCGGCGGACGGGUGAGUAACACGUGGGUAACCUGCCUCAUAGAGGGGAAUAGCCUUUCGAAAGGAAGAUUAAUACCCCAUAAGAUUGUAGUACCGCAUGGUAUAGCAAUUAAAGGAGUAAUCCGCUAUGAGAUGGACCCGCGUCGCAUUAGCUAGUUGGUGAGGUAACGGCUCACCAAGGCGACGAUGCGUAGCCGACCUGAGAGGGUGAUCUGCCACAUUGGGACUGAGACACGGCCCAGACUCCUACGGGAGGCAGCAGUGGGGAAUAUUGCACAAUGGGGGAAACCCUGAUGCAGCAACGCCGCGUGAGUGAUGACGGUCUUCGGAUUGUAAAACUCUGUCUUCAGGGACGAUAAUGACGGUACCUGAGGAGGAAGCCACGGCUAACUAUGUGCCAGCCGCCGCGGUAA